CCUACGGGUGGCAGCAGUGGGGAAUAUUGCGCAAUGAGCGAAAGCCUGACGCAGCGACGCCGCGUGGGGGAUGAAGGUCUUCGGAUCGUAAACCACUGUCAGCGGGGAAGAAAGGUAACAGUGCUAAUCAGCAGUGAAUUGACGGUACCUGCAAAGGAAGCACCGGCUAACUCCGUGCCAGCAGCCGCGGUAAUACGGAGGGUGCGAGCGUUAAUCGGAAUUACUGGGCGUAACGCGCGCGUAGGCGGUAUGUCAAGUCAAUGGUGAAAUCCCCGGGCUCAACGUGGGAACUGCCUUUGAAACUGGCAGACUGGAGUGUGUGAGAGGGUAGUGGAAUUCCAGGUGUAGCAGUGAAAUCCGUAGAUAUCUGGAGGAACAUCAGUGGCGAAGGCGGCUAUCUGGCACAUAACUGACGCUGAGGAGCGAAAGCGUGGGUAGCAAACAGGAUUAGAUACCCUGGUAGUC
RNAcentral lists this ribosomal RNA (465 nucleotides) under uncultured bacterium. RNAcentral describes it as "partial 16S ribosomal RNA". It matches the Rfam family "Bacterial small subunit ribosomal RNA", at positions 338 to 795 of the family's 1533-position model. The record is from RNAcentral.